Molecule: small nucleolar RNA, 139 nt
Organism: Sorghum bicolor (sorghum)
Lineage: Eukaryota; Viridiplantae; Streptophyta; Magnoliopsida; Poales; Poaceae
Rfam family: Small nucleolar RNA Z247
About the family: Z247 is a member of the C/D class of snoRNA which contain the C (UGAUGA) and D (CUGA) box motifs. Most of the members of the box C/D family function in directing site-specific 2'-O-methylation of substrate RNAs.
Source: Rfam
AAACUAGAAGAUGAAGAGCUGGUGUUGUAUAUCCUCACCGGGCUUGAUCUGGAAUACAACCCUGUUGUCUCUGCAGUUGCAGCCAGGGUUGAGCCUAUCACAGUUGGUGAACUCUACACCCAGCUGGUUAGUUUUGAGC